Molecule: non-coding RNA, 72 nt
Organism: Pangasius djambal
Lineage: Eukaryota; Metazoa; Chordata; Actinopteri; Siluriformes; Pangasiidae
Source: the annotation of a GenBank genome assembly
UCCCUGGAGGAUUAGUGGUUAGGCCUCGGUGCUCUCACCAUCAAGGCCCGGGCUCGAUUCCUGGCCAGAGAA